UACAGAGGUCUCAAGCGUUGUUCGGAUUCAUUGGGCGUAAAGGGUGCGUAGGUGGCGCUGUAAGUCGGGUGUGAAAUUUCGGAGCUUAACUCCGAAACUGCAUUCGAUACUGCGGUGCUUGAGGACUGGAGAGGAGACUGGAAUUCAUGGUGUAGCAGUGAAAUGCGUAGAGAUCGAGAGGAACACCAGUGGCGAAGGCGAGUUCCUGGACAAGUCCUGACGCUGAGGCACGAAAGCCAGGGGAGCAAACAGG
This 253-nucleotide ribosomal RNA is filed under the name uncultured bacterium. Its description in RNAcentral is "partial 16S ribosomal RNA". It matches the Rfam family "Bacterial small subunit ribosomal RNA", at positions 524 to 776 of the family's 1533-position model. The record is from RNAcentral.